Molecule: ribosomal RNA, 406 nt
Filed under: uncultured bacterium
Lineage: Bacteria
Description: partial 16S ribosomal RNA
Rfam family: Bacterial small subunit ribosomal RNA
Source: RNAcentral
AUUGAACGCUGGCGGCAUGCUUUACACAUGCAAGUCGAACGAGUGGCGCACGGGUGAGUAAUACAUCGGGCCGUCUCCUAUCGUGGGGGAUAACUUAUCUAAAGAUCAGCUAAUACCGCAUACGCUUGGAGCGGCCGAUGCCCGAUUAGCUAGUUGGGGAGGUAAAGGCUCACCAAGGCGACGAUCUGUAGCUGGUCUGAGAGGACGACCAGCCACACUGGGACUGAGACACGGCCCAGACGCCUACGGGAGGCAGCAGUGGGGAAUUUUGGACAAGGGGGGCAACCCUGAUCCAGCCAUGCCGCGUGAAGGAAGAAGGUCUUCGGAUUGUAAACUGCUUUUUUCAUGGAAGCGGUACCUGAAGAAUAAGCACCGGCUAACUACGUGCCAGCAGCCGCGGUAAUUC